GGAGGAAGGGGAUAUCUCCCUGGCUAGGAAGGAACUCUGAGCAGGCGGACCUGGAGAAAGGAGCCAGAGCACCGGCUGAAUAUGAGCCUCCCUGGUUAGAGACCACAGUCUUUUCUCUCUAUUAACAUUUUCAUAGGCCUUGGAUUCUAUUAAUACAGAACCAGUGGGAAUGGAUGCAAAUUGCAUAGGAUAUCUCCCCUCAGGAUCCAAGACAUAACAUUUUCCAGAAUUGCCCAUGAACGUCCAGGUGAUUUUUCUCUGAAUCCAAAAAAAAAAAAAAAGGAUCGCUUAUAAUACUCCAUCAGAACAAACUUCAGCCGGUGUUGCACUGCUAAACUGAACUCAACACAAUGCCUGGCCCAUAAUAAGCAUUUAAUAAGUGCUUGUUAACUGACAAUUCCUCUGGAUUUCAAUUUCCUACUCUGCAAAAUGAAGAAGUUUGACUAGAAGACUGCUAAGGAAUCUGAAACAAGGCUGAAGCAAGAAGAAGGCUUGAAAGUUAGUGAGCUCAUUGAAAGAUAAACAAUUUGAAGAGAUGAGUAGAAAGUCAAUAAUAUGAGAUUUGAGAUACACUUUCAAUUAGGAUUUAGGAGAAUAUAAAGAAAAAAUAUAGCAUUGUGGAAGUCCAAGAAGGAGAGAAUUUUAGGAAGAUGUCAACAACAUCAAAUGCCAAUCACAUGGACUGAAGAAAGGUCAAUGGAUUUGACAAGCAAAAAGGUGAUAAGAGGGUAUCCAUCAAAGUGGAGGUGAGAAGACUAUAUGGAAGAAGAAACUAGAGGUACUAAAGAGGAAAGGCUUACAACCAGUUUGACCUUGAGCGAAUGAGUUAAGCUCCCUAACCCUUGAUUUUCUGACUGUAAAAUGAGAAGAUUGGACUAGAUUAUUUCUAAAUUAGCUUCCUGCUUUAAAUCUAUGAUUCUCCAUCCUUUAUCCUUUUAUCCAGUAUCAGAGGAAAAUUAUUCUCUCCUCCAUCAUCUCUCUAGUAAUAGUCUAGAUUCCAUUCCUUACCACAUUUUCCAGUACCUCACCCCUACAAUCCAGGAUUAAGGAUACUCAAGAAAUCUUUCUGUAAAGCAGGUUGUGAGGGGUCAUCUGCUGAAAGUAUGUAUGGAAGGGUAGGAAUAAAAAGAGAAGUAUUGCACUUUUGGAAGGAAAGGAUAAAAGAGCCUGGAAAAGAAGAGUCUCCCAUGCACUGAGCUAGUUCUGGCAAUGCAG
This is a non-coding RNA of Phascolarctos cinereus (koala), 1215 nucleotides long. Lineage: Eukaryota; Metazoa; Chordata; Mammalia; Diprotodontia; Phascolarctidae. The record is from RefSeq and is a predicted model, not a curated record.